This 246-nucleotide ribosomal RNA is filed under the name uncultured marine eukaryote. Its description in RNAcentral is "partial 18S ribosomal RNA". It matches the Rfam family "Eukaryotic small subunit ribosomal RNA", at positions 1189 to 1456 of the family's 1831-position model. The record is from RNAcentral.
CUCAAUUUGACUCAACGCGGGAAAACUUACCAGGUCCAGACACGGGGAGGAUUGACAGAUUGAGAGCUCUUUCUUGAUUCUGUGGGUGGUGGUGCAUGGCCGUUCUUAGUUGGUGGGUUGCCUUGUCAGGUUGAUUCCGGUAACGAACGAGACCUCAGCCUGCUAAAUAGUCACGUCUACCUCGGUAGGCGCCUGACUUCUUAGAGGGACUAUUGGCGUUUAGCCAAUGGAAGUGUGAGGCAAUAA